This 278-nucleotide long non-coding RNA is filed under the name Nicotiana benthamiana. RNAcentral describes it as "long non-coding RNA (NBEN_LNC036359)". Lineage: Eukaryota; Viridiplantae; Streptophyta; Magnoliopsida; Solanales; Solanaceae. The record is from RNAcentral.
UGGCUGUUAGUUAUGGUAGUUACUGUAUGAUAUUAUUGCAUGUGAUUGUAUUUAUGUUUCGUAUGUUUAGAUAAUUAUUUACGCUACUUACGCUAUUUAUGCUGGAGUUACUAAUGCUUUAUUGUUUUUGUUUUUGUUUUUAUUUUUGUCUUUGUUUUUGUUUUACUAAUGUUUUUCCUUUUAUCCUAUGAGCCGGGGGUCGAUUGGAAACAGCCUCUCUGCCCUUUCGGGUAGGGGUAAGGCUUGUCUACAUAUUACCCUCCCCAGACCCCACCUGG